RNAcentral lists this ribosomal RNA (484 nucleotides) under uncultured bacterium. Its description in RNAcentral is "partial 16S ribosomal RNA". It matches the Rfam family "Bacterial small subunit ribosomal RNA", at positions 30 to 507 of the family's 1533-position model. The record is from RNAcentral.
AUUGAACGCUGGCGGCAGGCCUAACACAUGCAAGUCGAGCGGAUGAAGGGAGCUUGCUCCUGGAUUCAGCGGCGGACGGGUGAGUAAUGCCUAGGAAUCUGCCUGGUAGUGGGGGAUAACGUCCGGAAACGGGCGCUAAUACCGCAUACGUCCUGAGGGAGAAAGUGGGGGAUCUUCGGACCUCACGCUAUCAGAUGAGCCUAGGUCGGAUUAGCUAGUUGGUGGGGUAAAGGCCUACCAAGGCGACGAUCCGUAACUGGUCUGAGAGGAUGAUCAGUCACACUGGAACUGAGAAACGGUCCAGACUCCUACGGGAGGCAGCAGUGGGGAAUAUUGGACAAUGGGCGGAAGCCUGAUCCAGCCAUGCCGCGUGUGUGAAGAAGGUCUUCGGAUUGUAAAGCACUUUAAGUUGGGAGGAAGGGCAGUAAGUUAAUACCGUGCUGUUUUGACGUUACCAACAGAAUAAGCACCGGCUAACUUCGUG